UGAAAAAUGUUUUAAAGUGCAGAUUUCUGGAAUGAUACAGAGAAGAUUAGCAUGGCCCUUGUGGCAGCUGACACACAAAUUCAUGAAGCCUGCCCUGUUUAA
Molecule: small nuclear RNA, 102 nt
Filed under: Neogale vison (American mink)
Lineage: Eukaryota; Metazoa; Chordata; Mammalia; Carnivora; Mustelidae
Source: RNAcentral